This 468-nucleotide ribosomal RNA is filed under the name uncultured bacterium. Its description in RNAcentral is "partial 16S ribosomal RNA". It matches the Rfam family "Bacterial small subunit ribosomal RNA", at positions 28 to 507 of the family's 1533-position model. The record is from RNAcentral.
GACGAACGCUGGCGGCGUGCUUAACACAUGCAAGUCGAACGGAAAGGCCCUGCUUUUGUGGGGGGCUCGAGUGGCGAACGGAAGAGUAAAACGACAGUAAACUGACCUUGACCUUGGGAUUACUUAAGGACACUAGGGCUAAUACCAUAUGGGAGAUUCUGCUGCUUGGGGGUGGUUGGAAAGUUUAGGCUGUUGGUGAUGGGGGCGCGGCGUGUCAGGGUGUUGGGGGGGUUGUGGGGUACCUAGGCUUUGACGGGUGGCCGGCCUGAGCGGGUGGCCGGCCACAUUGGGACUGCUAUACGGGCCAGACGCCUACGGGAGUGAACAGUGGGGAAUAGUGCACUAUGGGGGGAAGCCGUAUGCGGCAGCGCCGCGUGCGUGAUGACGGCCUUCGGGUUGUAAACCGCUUUCGCCUGGGUCGUAGCUGGAUUGACGGUAAUGGGUUAAGAAGCACCGGCUAACUACGUG